CCGGAACGAUGCUGCAUAUCGAGAUCGAACCCGUCUGGCGUUUUCACAAGGAAGGCAGCCCGCAGACCGCAGUCGUCAUGCUCGGUGUGCUCAAUGAAAUCCGCACUACCGGCAAGCUCACCAGCGCGGCACACCANCGCCGGGCUUUCCUAUCGGCAUGUCUGGAAUCUGGUCGAGCAAUGGUCCGAGUUCUUCGGCGUGCCGCUGGUCGAAACCCAUCGCGGCAAGGGCACGACGCUGACGGCUUUCGGCGAGAAGCUGGUAUGGGCCG
RNAcentral lists this unclassified non-coding RNA (271 nucleotides) under Hevea brasiliensis (rubber tree). Lineage: Eukaryota; Viridiplantae; Streptophyta; Magnoliopsida; Malpighiales; Euphorbiaceae. The record is from RNAcentral.